Molecule: long non-coding RNA, 43096 nt
Filed under: Brassica napus (rape)
Lineage: Eukaryota; Viridiplantae; Streptophyta; Magnoliopsida; Brassicales; Brassicaceae
Description: long non-coding RNA (BNAP_LNC007072)
Source: RNAcentral
UUAAGUUAAGGUCUAAGAGCUGUCUUGGGUUGGCCUUUCUGUUAGAUUUGUGUGUGGGUUUACGUGUCUUUGCCAUAUUCUAGAUCAUUAUCUACGAAUAUUCUUAUAGUUAACAUUGCCGAUCAAGGAUAAAAACUAUCUUAUGAAGGAAAAAUAUAGAAAGUUAAGAUUCUCUAUCGGCUUACUUUAUCAGACGUGUAAUCAGAGUUUAUCUCGAUAACUUUAGAUUAGAUCAAAGAUAGGGGUUCUUUCUUUAGCUUUUGUCAGUUGUCAGGUCUUACAGAACCGAGAGAUAGUGACUUCCAUGUAGGAUCUUACGUGUGAACACGCCAAAGCAGGUCCCAUAAAUUAUUUUCUUGUUCAUUAAAUAGUUGGCCACAUACUGGCUUUUUUUCGCGUAAUAUAGUUUUCAAGAAUCUCUUUUCUUGAAGUAGGACAAUAAGAGAAUACAAUUACGUGGAGGGCUGCUCUUAAUUGAUAUUAAAUCCACCGUUAAUUUGAAAUUUUAAUUUUCUUUUCGGGAAUAAACGUGGAGGGAAAACAACCCUGCUGAUGUAAAAAAGUGGUGCUUUAUCGGUGAAGAAGAACAUCCAUUAGCUGCCUUGUGACGCAAACUUUUUACCAGUUCUAACCUCUUUCCAUCAACCUCCAAUAGCUUUCUUGACGUUCUUUCACUAUAUUUCUUGGUCACAAACUUAUAAGCCUUUUAGUUUAAUGUUAAUUAAUUCAUAUUCUCUACUUUUACAUACAUUUAUGCAUGCCAACGUAUAAUUGCUGAAGAGUUUCACUUCUGUGCGGUAUACGCAAUACGACUUUAUGACCAUAGAAAAAAAAUACUAUGACCACCAAAUGUUCUCAUGGUUGGGUAUUACACUAUCACUACAAUUUCUUCAUUUUAUUGGCAUGGAUGAUAUACAAUACUUCCAUGAAUUAUUUCACGCUUUUUCUCUUCUAAUUCACAUUAUUUAUUUAUAUGAUGCAGUUUAUGAACGAAAAAAUGAUCCAGUUUAUGAAAUUUUCAUGUUAUUUGGUGUUAUAGUUUGACGUAAUGGAAAAAAUGAUACUGACCUUUCAACUUGCCUUAGAAUCAACAAUACCCCUUUUGACUCUUAUGAGUUUUUCUUACUGCUGAAAAGAUUCUUUUCGGCAUUUUAUUGAAAUCAUUUUCCAAAACAAGAGUGAAACAUCAAAUUAUAUAUAUAUUUUUUUAAAAAGCAUCAAACAAAAUGUGAAUAGAACAAAAGCAUCAAACAAAAUGUAGACAAAAGAUAUAAUAAUGAAAAAAAUGCAUUGACCUACUUUAUAUAAUUAAAAACGUAUACUAUGAAUUCAAUAGGGGGCUUAAUUUCUCGUAUUAUAUAAGCAAAGAAGUUUGCAUCCAGCAAAGCCAAGAGCAACAAAAAAAGAAUCAAAUCAAAUUUAGAGAGAGCAAAAAAAAAAACACCAAGUAUCAAACCAAGAAGGUGUGUUUCUGAUCCUUCUCUGUUACUUGUUAUUUCAAUCUAAAUAUCAAACAUCUAUCCUUUUUAAGAUCCAUGGCAGCAAUAGAUAUGUUCAAUAGCAGCACAAAUCUCUCAGAUCCUUUCAAAGAAGAGCUCAUGAAAGUACUUAAACCUUUCACCAACUCUGUUUCUUCUCUUCCUCCAAUUCCAAACCCAAUCUUCGGUUUCAAUCAAACCACACCUCUCGGUCUGAACCAGCUCACACCUUACCAAAUCCACCAGAUCCAAAACCAGCUUAACCAGAGACGCAACCCCACCAUCUCAACCCUCUCCCCAAAGCCAGUGGCAAUGAAGAACGUGACAGCUCAGAAACUCUACAGAGGAGUUAGACAAAGGCACUGGGGAAAAUGGGUUGCUGAGAUCCGUUUACCCAAGAACCGGACCCGACUCUGGCUUGGAACUUUCAACACAGCUGAAGAAGCAGCCACGGCUUAUGACCGAGCUGCUUACAAGCUCCGAGGCGAGUUAGCGAGGCUUAAUUUCCCAUACAUCAGGCACGAGUUUGGUGAUAGCAGAUUCAAGGCUCUUCAUCCCUCUGUUGAAGCAAAGCUCGAGGCGAUUUGUCAGAGCUUGGGAAAAACAGAUCUUCUCCCGCCAAAAGCAGAGUAUGAAGAAAGUGAAUGUAGGUGGUCUUUGAGAGCUGAUGAGAGUUUGUUUUCUGAUGAGUCUCACGUGGGAUCUUCGUCGCCGGGUACGUUGUUGGAUUUUUCGGAUUCAGGGUUUGAUGAUGAGUGUGGGAGUUACGUGCUGGAGAAGUUUCCUUCUGUGGAGAUUGAUUGGGAUGCGAUUAGCAAAUUGUCCGAAUCUUAGGAGCCUGUCUUCGACUCGGUGUCUAUUGAAUGUCUCAUAUUAGUUAGUUUGUUAGUUAAUCUCUGCAACUGAAAUUUUUACAGUUGUAGAGAGACUUGUUUAAGGCUUUGUUUAUGCUAAAGAAGUCCUCUAUGUGUUUGGUCUAAAAGCUGGUUUAUGUUUUUUUUUUGUUCAGAAACCUUGUCAUUGACCAAUCAGAGAAGCUUUUGUGUAUUAUCAUAUUUUUAAGUUUUUAUUGAAUGUAAAUUAUUACUCUUUUAUUUUACGAUCUUAUGUUCAUUUCUUUUCUAUUUCUUCUAAAGAAAUCCUUUUAUAAAAAACAAAUUCAUGAAUAUUUAUCCACGAGAAUAUUUUGAAAGGUUUAUGUUGCCUUUGUGUUUAUUGUGGAAGGAAGAGGGUCAGAGAGGGGUCCAUAAUUGACAUAUAAGAACACAUAAACCACAGAGUUUGAUUCUUUAAGGUAAAGAAUCUCUGCAAUACAACAAAUUUGGUUUUUAGUUAAAAAAAAAACAAAUGUUAAAAAUGUUAAAAAUUAUGUAUAACUAAUUUAAGGAGGUGUAUUCAACUACUAAUUUUAAGUGACUGAUAUUAAAAUGACAAAUCUACUAUUAUUCAAACGUGGAUUAAAAAAAAAUUAAAAGUCUAGUGUUUGAACUUAUCAUUUAAUAAAAUACUCUGAAAUCUACUAUUAUUAAAAAAAAUAACUUGGAGAUUAUAAAAUAUUUUAGUUACUUCUAAAAUAUUUAAGAAAGGUUCCUUAGUUAUAAAAAUAAAAAUCUAUAUAAAAUCCUAGAAUUGACAAAAAUCACAUAAAAUUCUCAGAUUUGCCAAAAAAAUCAUCUAAAAACUUAUUAACAAUCAAACACUUUACAUUUCAUAUUCAAUAUCCUACUAUAUAAAAGGAGCUAAAUCAUUGAUUCCUAAGCCUAUCCACAUAUGCACAAAUAUUCUCCACCAACCAAUAUGCCAGGUCAUCACGAAGUGGGCUUGCAAUUAAAAAAAUAAUUCAACAAUUUGCAGCCCAUUAGACCCAUUUCCUAGCCCACUCCCGAGCCACUCUCUCAUAAGCAUAAUCCUGUGUUCUAAACAUCCCGUGUUAAAUUUUUUAAAACACUCAUAUCUUAGAAAUAGUUUAGAAAAUAUAUUUAUAUAAAUAUUUUUUUCUUGAAUAAUAUUUAAUUAUAAUUUUUUGUAUCUUUUUAACUUUUAUAGUAAAAACAUUAUUUUUAGAUAGCAACAAAAUAUAUAUAAGAAUUAUCUUAUUUUUAAAAUUUUUUAUAAUUUUAUUAUAUUAUUUUAGAAUCAAAUAUUUAAUAUUAAUAUAACAUAUAAAUUUUAUAUGAUUAAAAUAAAAUUCGUUUUUAAUUAUAUAUAAAAUUCAUUAAGGGUAUUGUUUUAAUUAACACAUUAGCGAAUCAGUUAGAAAUUAAUAAUAAAUCAAAAAUCUAUCUAAAAGUCUAAAACCUAAUAAAAUAUGACAAAUAAGAAAAACUAACUAAAUUUUAAUAUAAAAUAGAAAUUUAAUAUUAUUAAAAUAAAAUUCAUUUUUAAUAUAUAUAUAUAUAUAAUAUUAAUUAAGGGUAUUUUUUAAAUUAAUAAAUUAGUGACUUAGCUAAAAAUAAAUAAUAAAUCAAUAAUUUAACUAAAACCUAAUAAAAACAUGACAAAUAAGCAAAUUUACUAAAAUUAUGGAUAAUAUAAAAUAUGAUUGAUUCUUUAAUACAAAAUUAAAAUAAGAGUUUUGUUAAAUAAAACAUAAGUUUGCCGUAUCGGUCUUACAAAAAAAAAAUCAUUAAUAGUGUCGUAGGAAUUAUGUCUUUCCCAUUAACGAAUAAAAUUGAAGCAGUGUGUUGGAGGAUAGCUCAACGUAUAGACGAGAUUAUGGAGAUUGAUAUGGGAGUUGAGGUAACGGACACAAUUGUUCCUCCGUAAAAAAACGCUCCUGCUAGACAUCUUGGAUAAAUGAAAGAGACAUAUCUGGACUUGGUUUUGUGUUAAUGGAUGGUGACUUUCCAAUGUUGUUUGGAGCAAGGACCGAUAUACACGCACCAAAUCACCACUGGAAGCGGAAGCUGAAGGUUUACUAUGGGCAAUGCAAGUGAUACUGAAGUUUGGACACAGAGAGAUGGUCUUUCAAUCGACUGUGAACAACUGGUUAUAUCCAUUCAAAAGGAGGAAGAUUAGCAUGCGUUAGACUCGGAGCUCGACGAAAUACAGGCUGUAUCCAAAGAAUUUUCUGAACUUUCUAUUGCUUAUAUUCCUAGAUCUUUAAAAUUCCGUACGAAUAGCCUAGCAAAAGGUGUCCGAUCACACGCAUUUCGAUCAGCUUUUGUAAACUCUUUUGCACCAAGUUGGCAAGCCCCACAAGCUAGCAUGAGGGUGCAAAAAAAAGAAAAUAAAGUUGAAAGUGAAACUAAAUAUCCCAAUAAACAAAUUUAUCAGAAGUCCAUAUUUAUGUGGAUGUCUAUAUGAGAUAAACAAUUUUUUUAGACAAUUAUAGAAUAUAGUCACAAAAAUCAAUCUUAAAAUAUAUAAUUUAAAAAAACUAUUUAAACAAACAAUCAAAAUUUUCAAUAUUACACCAAAUAAGAAUAUAAAGACCAACUAUAUUCUCUUCGUGUAUAAUAUGUUGUGGUAAGAUUCGAAAAAAUUAACUUACUUUACAGUAAGGAAAAAUUAGAUUUUUAAUUCCAAAUUUACAAUAAAAACAUAACAUUUUAUAAAACUAAACAAUUGACAUAAUAGUACAAAAUACUAUCCGCGCGUAGCGCGGACAAGGACCUAGUAUCCCUCUAAAAGUAUAUACGUAGCCAGUAUAGUAUUAUUAUUAAAAUUAUACAGAUAAAAAUAACAAAACAGCCUUAUCCAACUCCAAGAUUCUGAUUCUUUUCUUUCCGCACAUACAGACAGUAUCCCACACGCCAAAAGUUGAAAUGGAGGUUUGUAAACUUUUAGUUCUUUAUAACUACUAAAUAUUUAUUUUAUACUGGCAUAUACUUGAAUAAACUAAUGUUGCAUAGAUAUAUUGAUCUAUAUGUUUAGUUCUUUUGAAAUUUAUUGAUAUAUAUUUGUUGGAAUCAUUAUACAAAAGUACCAUUAUAGGCCUUUUGGGCAUGGUAUAGCAGAAUUGGGGAUAAUUGGGCCAAAGUAUGGAUGAUAUACUACUAGUGUUUUUAGUGAGUAUGACCCAAAAAGAUUGGAUUCUGAUUCGAUUUGUAAACCCAGGCCCGAUAAGCUUUCAGAAAAAACAAUAUUUAUACUAAAAUUGGUCAGCCCAUUGAUGUAGGUACAAUUGAUUAAACAAAUUUCAUAAAUUAAUUGAAUGGUAUUUAGUGUUAAGAGAGAUUUUAAUUAUAUAAUAUUUAUUUAAUGUGGCUUAAUUAACAGUCAUAAAUUUUUGUAAUUUAUCUUUCUAAUAAUUUGGUUCAUAUUAUAAUUAAUUUGAUUUUUUUAUAAUUAGUGUUAAGCAUUUAUCUUUAAAUAAUAUAUAUUUUGAAAAUUUUCAUACUUAUUUUUGUUACUAUAUUUAUUGUACAUCAAUAAUAGCCAUUACAUUAAAAGUUAUAUAUAUAUAUAUAUAUAUAACUUUUAAUGUAAUGGCUAUUAUUGAAUUAUUAUGUUACAUAAAAAAACGCAAUAAUGUUUUAUUAUUUAUAUUUAUUUUGAUCAUUAAUUAUUUGAAUGUUUUAAUCAAUUAUAAUGUUCUAAUAAAUAAAUGAAUUUAAUUUGAAAACUUACAAAAAGGCUGGAUCCAAAGGAAAGAUUAUGUUUUAAUAAGAAAGAUUUCAUCAAUUGAUUUCUUUAUAUUUUCCAUCGCAUGCCAAAUAUAUAGCAUAUGCAGUAUAACCCCUAUCUUAUAUAUUAAAACAGAAGUCACAAUCUUGAUUCAUGUGUGAUUUUUUUUAAAAAUGGACCUAAUGGACCUAUUCAUAGAAAUUCAUACUACAUUUUAAUUCAGACUAAUAAUAAAUAGAAUUUUUAAAAUGUUUUAAUCAUAAUAUCUUUUGAUAUCUUUUCAUUUUAAAUAUAAAUAUAUUUAUUUUAAAAGUCUAACAAAUCUGUUUGAAAAGAUUUUUACAAGAUCUUCAUUUUCGAAAUUAUAUUUAAAUAUUUUCACUAAUUUCGAAAUUAGUUUAAAAUAUUAUUAUACAUUAAUAUAUUCAGUUAUAUAAAAUGAAACAUAAAAAAAUCUAUAAUAUUUUAUUUAUUAUAUAAUCAUAAUCAAUCAUAUUAAAAUAAAAUUAUUAUAUUGAGCUAAAUAAAAUUAUUAUAUUGAGCUAAAUAUAAUAAAAUUGUAUUAAAUUUAUAUAUUUAUAUAUUUUAUUUUCGUAAUUAUAAAAUAUUUAUGUUCAAAAAUAAAAUCUAAUAUGUUGGUAAGAUGGGUUAACAUUAUCAAACUAUAUAAUACAUGUAUAAAAAUUAACAUGUAUUUCUUUAAAGUUAAUAAUAUAAAAUCUUUGUAACUACUUUAAUCAUAAUAUAUUUUCAUUUUAAAUAUAAUAUAUAUUCAUAUAUUAUAUUUUAAAAAUUCUAAUAAAUCAGUGUAAUAUUUAAACAAUAACUUAAUGUAUUUUAAGUUAUCGUUUAGAAAUGAAAAUAAAUAAAUUAUAUCCUAUUUUAUCUACUUUUAUAGUCAUGAUCAUGUUAAAAUAUAAUUAUUAUACUAAAAUAAAUAUGAUAAAAUUAUAUUCAAUUGAUAAAUUUAUAAAUUUUAUUUUCAUAACUAUAAACUAUUUAUUUAAAAUAUAAUAUGAUGAUAGAACAGCUUAAAAUUAACAAACUAUAUAAUACAUGUCUAAAAAUUAACAUAUCUUACACUUUUAUAUAUACAAUAAUAAAUUAUCUAAAAUGAAUAAGCAUAAAAAUAUUGGUAAAAAGAAAUCCAGUUUUGAAAUACGGAUCAGAAUUUAGCCUAAAUUAAAUACAAAAUAUUUUUUAAAUAUAUUUUCUCAUGAAUAUAUUAAUUUGCUUAAUAACUAAAUGCAAAUACAAUAAGAUAAAUAUAUAAUAAGAAGUGGCAAAUACAUAAGGUUUAAACAAUUAAUUAAUUAUAACAUGUAAAUUAUAAAAUUAUUGUAUUUGAAAUAGUUAUAUAAAUAUUUAAGUAUAUGAUUAACAUUAAAAAUAUAUACCACUUAUGUUCUAAAACAAUAAUUUAUGUAUAAAAAAGUGAAAACGAACACCCGUGCGGUUGCACGGGUCAAAAUCUAGUAAAUUAUUAUUUCAUAAAUUAGCAGAAUUCUUAAAUCUUAAAUUAGAUCUGGUAUUUUUUAUAAAUUGAUCUCUCUAAAAUUAAUAAAAUAUUAUAAUCUAAAUGUGAUUAAUCUAUAUAAAUCUACUAUAUAUAAUUUCAUCCAGUUGGGAGUAGAUAUAUGAUUGAAGUGUUUGUAGUGUAGAUCUAGACGUGUAUACAGUAAUAUACACGUCAAACUUUAAAUAUAUGUGUUUAUAAUAUAUAUACACAUUAAUGUGAUAGAGGUACGUGCUUGGUCGAUUAAGGACAAGAUAAAGAGAACAUUAGAGGAUAUUUCAACUUUAUGAGUUUAGAUAAAAUAAUAAUGUUUUGUUUCUUAUAUAUCUAAUCAUAUAAAACAAAAGGGGGCUUAGGAUUAAUCUCUAAUGCAAGACACGUCGAAAGUGAACAACUCCAACGCGAAGCUUACUAUGAUCCAUUUCUAAUUCUUUACAAAUAUCACAAUCAGUUCAACUAGUAUCUGUUCAAAACCGUCGUACGAUUUCAUUUUGUAAUAUACACACAUGAUCUUUAAUGGAUUGUCUUUUCACGUUGUUAGAAUGGUUAAACAGUUGAUCAUUUUCUAAAAGAGAACUAAAAUAAUUCCGUGAUCGACAUCCCUAGCUACAUUUAUGCACUGUGUGGUUCGCGUGGUAUAGAUAUAUGUAUUUUUAGUGAUUAGAUUGGAUUCAAUAUUACAAUGAUAUGCUUUUGAGUUAUUUAAUUUGCGCGUUUAGCGGUACAAUGAAUUCAAUAUAGUAUAGACAUAAUUCACAUCGCGACAAUUCAGCUAUAGAUAUCAUACAAAUGGAGAUCUCAUUUAUAACCAGGUAAUUUCCUUUACGGAUAUUUCAUAACUAAAAGUAUAUAAGUAUAUAUAUAUAUAUAUUGAACUUCAUCGCAUGAAAACGAGCUGCGAUGAUUAACAUAUAUGCAUUUCAGAUACGUUUAAAGGAAGAUCAUAUCAACCUCAAAGCUUUAAUUAUCGAAAAGGUGUCGGUCCAUUAAAGGUCUGAUGAAGGCCAUGGAGAUAUAAAGAGAAGCCACCCAAGUUGUAGAUUGGCGACUCUUGGAGAUGAUAAAGAGUAACCUAAGACAUUUCCUUUUAACACAUAUAUCGAUGAUUAUAAAGUAAGAACGUGCUUGUUUUACUCUUUAGCGAAUUUUCUGCACUACAUAUUUAGCCCCAACACUUCUGAAAGGUUCUCAGUAAACCUUAAUAUAUAUCUCUGUUUUAUUUUAUGUGGUGAUGGUUGGAAUUGGUAGUACAUACUUGAUUUAAGAAAAUAAAAGUAUCCUAAAACAAUAUUGUGUGCAUUUGUUGAAGAAUAAUUUUACAUAGUACAUUUUAAACUAGUAUAUUUUUUGUAUAUCGAGAGUGAAGAAUCAAAUGUGACAUGAAAAAUAAGUUGUACGAGUUCAUUAUGAUCGUAUAUAUGUGCAUGUUCAUUUUUAUUUCCCGAACCUUAGCAAAUCGAUCAUUUCUAGAUAUUAUAAUUGAGCUAUUUAUAUAAUUAACAAACUAAUACAUAGCUUGUGCUUAAUUUAUUACUUUUAUAAAUAGUGGAAAAGGUCUCAAUGAUUGGGGCAUUUUGGCCUAAGAUUAUAUCAUUACACCAAUAUCAGAAGCCAAAAUCUUAGUUUAAUAGUAGCAUAUAGUAUCUAUGUGAUCUAUAAUAUUCUUCAUAUAUAGUAAUUACAGUGUUUAUUGCAUAUAUAGGUUCAUAUAAUGUAGCCGUGGAUCAACUCUACAAAAUAAAUUAAACGAUUUAGAAUGUUUUACUGGUUGGUUGGGACGCCAGGUAAAUUUAAUUAGAAUUUGGUGUCUAGAAUGAAAAUAUAUAGCAACUUGUUAUUAAAGAAACGAGAGCAACUUGAUGGAAUAGUGAAAUAUAUAUUGACAAAAAGAAUCGUUCCUUUUCUCCUUUCAUAGGCGACGUCCAUAUAGUGAUUUGUUAAUAUUCUCAAAUUAAAGGCUAUCAACUUUUUAUAUUCUUUUGAAAUUUAACAAAACCUAUCGUACAUAUAGAUUUUCAUAAAUUUCAUCACAACUAUAUAUUUGGUUUAUUUAUGCAAUAUAUUUGGUUUUACGGAAGAAAAGUAUUAAUUUUAUGGAAGAAAGUAUUAACCGGAAAGCAGGUAUAGAGGACCUGUGAACACCCAUGGACUAUCCCACGUGGCGAAUUCUGUCGAGGUUGCACGCUUGGGACCCACCAAUCAAGAGUUACGCCGAAAAGUUUGGAGAAGCGGUUGCCGUUAACAGUUUAGUCAAAGCCAUUGACUCAAUUGUCAAGAUUUUUAUUUUCUCUCCCAUUAUUUGUUUUGUUUUUUUAUAUUUCCAAAAAGAAAAGAAGGUCAGAUUUUUGAUAUUUAGGAUUUUCAUCAUGUUUUUUCUAACGGGGUUAUAAUUAUUCUAUGCCUUUUCCAUAAAGUACACAGUCCUGGAAUUUACUCGUUUGGUGGUUUACAAUAAGAGCUUGUCUCAUCCAAAAAUGUCAUGUGAUAUAAUUAUAUGGUCAAAGAAGUACUAUAAAAUAUGUCUGAUGCCUACGACAUUAUGCUUGGUUUUCUUAAAAGUGCUAACUUAUUGAAAAAGGAAUCGAUGUAAAUGUGGAUGAUGUCAAAUUGUCAAUCAUUAACAUGAAUCUUACUUGUUACAUAUCGAUAAUUAAUUGUCAUUAGAUUGUUUUAAUUACUUAUUUCGGAACUGUCUCCAGUAGUAUAAACUUAUAAUCUUGUUCCAAAUUUUUCUUUCGAUCAGACGUAAUUAACUAACCCAUCAUACCGCUUUAAUAUCAUCCGAUUUGAGGUAAGUAAGGAUUCGAUAAGAGAGGGUUAACAAAAAUGGGACAAUUAUUUGCAUAUGUACUACUGUGCCUCGUAGGGAUCCACAUGUUUGGUAGUGACACUCUCGAUUCGUUACAUGUGAUGUGUCGGUUCGGAAUUUUGCUUUUGAACAUUGCCUAAAUGCCAUUGCAAUUAGACGCAUAUAUUACUUUCAUGCAAUUCACACACACAAACUCACGUAUACCGGUAUAAAUAUAUGUAUCAUAUAAUGAUAUAUGUCAAUUUCUUGGUUAUUUAAUUUUUAGAAAAAUAUAUCCAAAUAGCACUAAUUCAUGUUUUAUGACAAAAUUAGCACAUAAAAAAUCUCACGUUUUAUCAAAGAUAAAAAAAAUAUUUCUUAUUUUGAUUUAGAUUUUAGUUACUAAGGGUUAGGAUUUAGAAUUCAGAAUUUUGAUUUAGAUUUUAUCAUUGUAUGCUAUUUUGGAUUUUUAACACUAUUUUGGAGAUUUUUCCUAAUUUUGUAUACUAAGUUUAGGUUUGUUCAAGCUAAGUAUUACGACGAGAAAACUUUUUUAUGCAUUGUAUAUAUGUGCUUUAUAAUUCGCCAAGCAGAUCAUACAAACGUUGGUUAAGAAUAUCAAAUUUAAUUCAAAUUUUAGGUGUUAAUUACUUUUGGAGACUGAUGAUUUAUGUUUUAUGGACCUGUCAGAAGUAAUAUCAAAAUGUGAUAUUAGUUGUUUUUAUGUAUGUGAAACGUUUGAACUUUUCAUGUUAUCUAUUCUAGGAGUGUGAUUGGAUGUACCUAUAUAUUAGAGUAAAAUUUUACUUUAACUUUAGUUUUUACUCUCAUUUUCACUUCUUUCCACUAAUCAAGUGAAUAAUAUUUCAACCAUUUUACUCAAAAAUUUGAGAAAACUCAACAAAAGUAGAGUAAGAUUUAUCUCCACUUGUUUAAACUGAAAACAUGUACGUACUCCCAUUUUCUAAUUUCUGUCCUCUUUUUCCCAUUUUUUUCACCAUUUACUCUUGUAUUAACCAAUCACGCCCUAAGUUGAUCAAAAAAAAACCAAUCACACCCUAAAUAUGCUAAUUAAAAGUUCUACGCAAAUGUAAACCGAACUAUUUGAAAAGAAUGGUCACGAGAAUAAUCUUAGACUCUUUUAGUCCCACAAUCAUGUUUUUCAUGAGGUUUCCUUCUCCUAGAAGUCACUAAGAACCCUAUUCAGAUUCUUCAAAUUUUCAUAAUUAAAUCCUGAGCUAAGCAUACGCGCGGGGGCAUGCAGGUUUAAAUAUAUCAAUGAAAUGUUCGAUCAACUUGGUUGGUUAAUUGAUUUUAAUACUCGUAUACGAUCCAUAAUCGAUUCUGCAAAUCAUUCUUGGAUAAUUUAUUGGAUCGAAACUGACGACGGAAUAAACCCGAAUAUAUGCUUUGCACACAACUGUGAUUCGAACUCUCGAGGAAUCUCUAUUAGUGAUGACUGCUUACCCACGUGGUAUUUAAAAAAAAAUUCAACAUCUAUAUAGUCUAUAGACUAAUAGCUAUUAGCUAACAGAAAUUAUUAAUGGAAAUGUUCGAUGCAACUACGAGACACUUGUCAUUUUAUAAAAUUACAUAUUAGCGGGCAUGAUUGGCUGAUGCACCACUAAAGUCCUUAUUCGUAAAUCGUAACCGUUAAAAUAAUGAGCUAACAUGAUUAUUUUGUUUAAUAGAAAAUUCUUCAAUUCAUUUUGAUUUUUUUUUUAAAUUGCGGAACAAUGUAAUAGAAUAUGGGGUUUCGAUUUUAAUAGUACUCCGAAUUAGAUGAUAAAUAUGGUUGCCUAAUCUUUAUUUUUUAUAAUGUACAACACAUUUAUAAUAAGGCGAAUUAAUAAAGAAAAAUAUAGAACGGUCGAUAUCCCCAGAGUUUCCAAGAGAGCUAAUCUAACUCAAGGAGUUAGGAUAUGCGUAGAUGUAUUUACUUCACAUGUAUCUCACCAUAAGAAAAUAUUUUGUAUGAAUACAUCUUUUGAUGGAAUCAAACAGUAAAACCUUUUAAAAGUAUGUGUACUACAGAAUUAGACUAAUUAACAAUAUAGUAUUUCUAAGUUAGUAUAUAAUAUACCAACACUCACUCAUUAUUAAUUAGAACUCAUGAUUUAUUGAAAAAAAACAAGUAAACUAAGAAAAAAAUUUACCAGCAGACUAGCAUAUGUUGAAAUUUUAUGUAUUUUGUAAUUUUCAUAAACCUUCCAAAAAAAUUGCAACUUUACAAUUUAAUGCAUAAUAUUAUUUUGUUAAUAUUGCAACAAAAAAAUAGAAGAAACUGAGAAAGCAUAUGGUGUAGUAAUGGAAGGGGACCACGUAGCAGUUGCUGGGAACGCUGCAGCGCGAAGUUAACUUAACGAUCGGUAAGAGCGGGAAAGGCGGAAAGCGCUUUGUAGGCCCCACAGUCGAAUGGGUUCCAGCGUUCAGACACACCGCAAUAUCUGGUUUUCCUUUUUCUUUUUUAGUUAAGUAAAAAUAUUGCCCAAACAUUAAAAGUUUUAUGUUUUAUUUUCCUAUAAUAAUUUGCAACUAUAAAUUCAGACCAUACCACACUUCAGCCUCUGUCUCUAUCAAGCCCACACACACACUUACUGAUUUACAAUUUCACAACUCAAAUCUCUUUCUCUUUCGGCUCAUAUUUGCAAACAGAAACAAUGGGUACGUAAGUUGUUCAGUUUGUUAGAUAAUACGUAAAAAAACUUUUAUAUAGUUCAUAUGUCCUCAUCUGUUUUUAUGUUACUUUCAGUAGGAUUCGUUGAAGAAAACACAAAACAUAUGGAAAAAGAAACAGGAAACAUAUCAAACACGGAUGUAACGACGCUGAAGAAGAAAGUUCUUCAAGAUCUUAGUAUCAACAAUGGAGGAGGAUUUGUCAAUUCAUGGGUUGAUUCCAUGAGGGCUUGUUCUCCUACUCAUCUCAAAUCUUUGAUGAAACAAAGCUCUUGGCUCGUACGUAUAUCAUUCAGUGAUCAUCACGAUUUUAUAUCUGCUUAUCUACUCUCUUAUAAUAGACGAGGGUUGUAUAAUUUUUGUAGACAGAGCAUCCAUCAGCUUUAGAUAUGUUCGAAGAGAUUCUUCAUGUUUCUGAAGGAAAACAAAUCGUUAUGUUCUUGGAUUAUGAUGGCACUUUAUCCCCCAUUGUUGAUAAUCCAGAUCGAGCUUUCAUGUCUAAGAAGGUUCAUUUCUAAACCUAUAUAUAUAAACAAUAGAAGAAAUCUAAUUAUUCAAAAAGAAAAUAUGUUUUACUUAUUCUGUUUUUCGGUCUGAUUUUUAGAUGAGAAGAACAGUAAGGAAACUAGCAAUUUGCUUUCCGACUGCCAUAGUUAGUGGGAGGUGCAGAGAAAAGGUAUUUUAAAUUUUAAAGUAGCGCGAUUAAUUAUUAGUCAUGACUAAAUACUGAAUCUAAAUACAACAAUGACAAUAUUCAGGUUUAUAAUUUCGUGAAAUUAACUGAGUUGUACUAUGCUGGAAGUCAUGGCAUGGACAUCAAGGGACCAGCGCAAGGGUCCAAGUAUAAGGAAGUAAGUUUUUUUUUCUAUAGUGUUGAUCAAUUGAGUCUGUUGACGUAAAUAAACCAUUAAUAUUUUUCUACUUUAGAUUUUUUUCUUAUAUAUUUCUCAUUUUCAAGUGUUAUUAUGAAAAUUACAGGGUAAAUCUCUUCUUUGCCAACCAGCUACAGAGUUCCUCCCCAUGAUCGACGAGGUCACAUUCGCCUUCAAGAUCCAGUCUCAUAUAUAUAUAAUAAGAAAAAGCUACUUUAUUGUUACUUACAUUAUUUUAAAUGUUUUUGUGCAGGUUUAUCAAAAAUUAGUGGAGAAAACAAAAGUAACUCCUGGAGCGAACGUAGAGAACAAUAAGUUUUGUGCCUCUGUUCACUUCCGACGCGUAGAUGAGAAAGUACGAUAAUAUUCUAUUUAUUGUUCUAUUUAAUAUUCUAUUAUUACUGUGACAAAAAAAUAAAAUGAGGCGAUUAAUUAAUUUUUUUUCUUUUCUUUUUGAUCAAAUAAUUAAUUAAUUUAUAUAUUGACAGAACUGGAGUGAUCUGGCUAAUCAAGUUGGAUCAGUAAUUAAGGAAUACCCUAAACUCCGUAUUACUCAAGGAAGAAAAGUAAGAUAUUAAUAUUGUUUACUUAAUGGUUUUAUGUUUACUUUAUUAAUGGGUUAUGUUUUGGUAUAAUCGUUCAGGUUUUGGAGAUUCGUCCUAUCAUUAAGUGGGAUAAAGGCAAAGCACUAGAGUUUUUAUUAGAGUCACUUGGUAAAAUCUUCACCAACUAAUUAAUUAUGAUCAGUAACAUGACUACUGUUGAGAUCAAUAGUAUUAAUUAAAAUUAAUAUUGGCCUGCGUAGGGUAUGCUAAUUGUACUGACGUUUUCCCCAUUUACAUCGGCGAUGAUCGCACAGACGAAGAUGCAUUUAAGGUAUAUAUAUAUAACAUCGUAAUUACUGUAAUAUUCAAAUUAAAUCGUUAUUGUUCUUUUGCCCAAGAAAAAAAGUUAUUUUCAACGAUCUAAGUAAAUUUGAUUCAACUGAUGUUGUAGAUAUUAAGAGACAAAAGACAAGGUCUUGGCAUUCUUGUAUCCAAAUUUCCGAAGGAGACUAAUGCGUCUUAUUCUCUGCAAGAGCCUGAUGAGGUAUUAAGUUUGUAGUUCGACCUAUGUUAUUAAGUUCCUAUUAAAUAAUUUACAGUUCCUUAAACUGUUCUUUAUUGUGCAUAUGUCAUUAACUGACCACACCAUUUUUAAAUUAUUCACAGGUUAUGGAUUUCUUGCAACGUCUAGUGGAAUGGGAACAACUGAGAUCUGGCGCAUGAUGAGAGCUAUAAGUACAUAUAUAUAUAAGAAUGAAAUCUUUUUUAAUAACUUGUUAAUCUAGUUUUUCCCUAUUGUACUCACCGUAUCUUUGACAAACAAAGAAAACAAAUUGUACUCAACGCGUAUGUAUAAAAUCUUAUUACUAAUUGUUGUCAAUUCUUAAAGAACAUAGUUUACAUAAUUGCGAUUAGUUUUGUACUCCCACUGUUUCUAAAAGUAGAAUUUUCUAGAGUUAUUUUUUGUUCCAAAAUAAUAGAUUAUUUUAAAUUUUAAAAUAUUUUUAAUAGUUAAUAUUGAUAAAUUGUAUGCUUUAAAAAAAAAUUGAAAAUAUUUGAAUUGAUUAAAUACUAUUGAUUGAUGGUUACUGGGAAAUGUAGAGUAAAAUAAAUAAUAAAUUUAAUUGUAAACAUUUAUUAUAUUCUUAAUAUGCGUGAAUACUCUAUAAAAUCUUUCUUUCAUAAACGUAAGGAGUAUAAUUUUUUUGAGCAUGUAUAUAAAUACUUGACAUAUAUCAUCUAAAUUUUAUCAUGAUUCUAAAAAUGAAAUGAAACUAUAAUGGUAUAAGUAACUCUAUCAUAUCAGUAUUAAAUUAUAUUUCAGUCUUUAAUAAGUUUUUUUGGAUUUUAAGUUCAAAAUAAUGACAAUUAAUCAAAGUACACAAAUUCUAUCAGAUAUUGAUGUAAUUAGCACGGUUCAGUUCAGGGUUGAAUGUUUGAUAAUAGUCAAUCAAAUAUACUACUAACUUACUUUUAAAUCAAAAUUUUGAGUUUUUAUAUUCUUAUUCUGAUUCUCCAUUUCAUAUUUAAAAGAGUAAACCUAAAAUAUCUGAACUAAAUAAAAAAUCGGUUUCUAUUAUAUUGCCAAAUUAGAAUUUUGAAUAAAAAUUGGUUUUAAAAUUUUGGCGGUGAGAUGCUUCUUUAUUUUGAUAGAUAUAUACUAUCAAUUUAUACUUUUCAAAAUACUUUUUAUUUUUGUUUUUGUUUUUGAGUAGGUUAUAUAAUCGACUGCCAGUUAAUAUUCUUAACCAUGUUUUGGGAGUUAUUUUUCAGGUUUUAAUUUUAAUGUUUGUAUAUUUUAUUUUUAAAAAGUGAUAAAUCUUUGUAAAAUGAUUAAAUCACACAUGUACACCAUUUAUUUGUUUUCAUUUCUCUGAUUAUAUAUAUACUAUUAGGAAAUUUUAAACUUUAAACUACAUACACAUUAGUUUUUACAAAACAUAAAUUAUUAAAAAAAUUAUUUGAAAACCAUUUUCUAUUUAUUUAAUUCCUUAACUCAUUGUUAUUUGUUGGUAAAUUUUUGAUACUUUCCAAAAAAAUUAGAAUUUAGACAGUCUAAUAUUAAUAUUUGAAUUGUUAUAGGGUCACCAUCCCAUGUGGUCAAUUCAAUAUUUUGACUCUGAGAGAAGAUGCAAAAUAAGACUUUUCAAUAUUUUCCUUAUAACUAAAUGUAAGGAAAAAACAACUAGCUCUAGUUAAUUAACAUGUUCAAAGUACCAACUUGAUUGACUUCUUAUAUCCUAGACGUGGACCUAAUUAUAAGUGUGUUUGAAGUCAUCAGAGAUUAGGAAGAAAACAUUUUGUUAAUGACUGUAGGUAAUUAGAUAAAUAAUUAUCGUUAUUUAGGCUUUGAUUAGGGUUUCGUCUUACGUUAUUGGCUGUCAACUUUAGAACAAACCAUUAGUGAUACUACACCCAUUUCUCCCGACAUGCCACAAGAAGAUCGUUGUGAGAUUUGGUGGCGUAUUAAUUUAUAGCUUUAACUAUACGAUCCAUUAACUAGUUUAAAUGUUAAAGCUCCAAAAUUGUUAUCGCAGUAAUAUUUUAAUCUAUAUGAAUUAUGAAGUGCGUAUACAUUUUAAACGACCCUAAGUUCUUAGGGAGACUCCUAUGCUACAGAAAAAUAAUUGAGAAUUAAGCCAAUUGGCUCGUGAACUGUGAAGCUUGUCUGAGAUUUCCAAUCACACCAUCAUUGACACGUGUUAUCACUAAAUUAACUAAUGUAUUUUCUUAUUCAAACUAUUUAACAAACCUCGGAGUAUUUAAUGUAUAUCGACUACACAAACCCUAAUUUGCUUUUAUUAAUAAGGGAAGCAACUCUAGAUCCGAAUCUUUCAUAGAAUCAUAUGUGUCAUAAAUCAUAAUGCGUCAGAGAAUUGAGUCGUUUGGCAAUGUUCUGUAAAAUAUAAAAACAUAGUUACGAUAAAUUUCGAACUCUCGCCAACUAUUUUACCAAAUAAUUAGAGUUUAGCAAGGAAAUUCUAUCGUAUUCUUUUUAAAAUUGGUUACUCAUAAGAAAUUUGGAAAACAGAAUUACCUAUUUGUAGAAUUUAAAAUAUGAAAAAUGCAAAACCGAGGACAAGGUUUGAGACUUUGACCUUAUAUUAUAUAUGUCCACUAUGAUUAAAUCAAGCAAUAUUAAUAAGUACUCCUUCCGUUUUUUAAUAUAAGUCGUUUUAGAAGAAAAAAAUUUGUUUCAGCUUUAGAUAUGUUCGAAGAGAUUCUUCAUGUUUCUGAAGGAAAACAAAUCGUUAUGUUCUUGGAUUAUGAUGGCACUUUAUCCCCCAUUGUUGAUGAUCCAGAUCGAGCUUUCAUGUCUAAGAAGGUUCAUUUCUAAACCUAUAUAUAUAAACAAUAGAAGAAAUCUAAUUAUUCAAAAAGAAAAUAUGUUUUACUUAUUCUGUUUUUCGGUCUGAUUUUUAGAUGAGAAGAACAGUAAGGAAACUAGCAAUUUGCUUUCCGACUGCCAUAGUUAGUGGGAGGUGCAGAGAAAAGGUAUUUUAAAUUUUAAAGUAGCGCGAUUAAUUAUUAGUCAUGACUAAAUACUGAAUCUAAAUACAACAAUGACAAUAUUCAGGUUUAUAAUUUCGUGAAAUUGACUGAGUUGUACUAUGCUGGAAGUCAUGGCAUGGACAUCAAGGGACCAGCGCAAGGGUCCAAGUAUAAGGAAGUAAGUUUUUUUUUCUAUAGUGUUGAUCAAUUGAGUCUGUUGACGUAAAUAAACCAUUAAUAUUUUUCUACUUUAGAUUUUUUUCUUAUAUAUUUCUCAUUUUCAAGUGUUAUUAUGAAAAUUACAGGGUAAAUCUCUUCUUUGCCAACCAGCUACAGAGUUCCUCCCCAUGAUCGACGAGGUCACAUUCGCCUUCAAGAUCCAGUCUCAUAUAUAUAUAAUAAGAAAAAGCUACUUUAUUGUUACUUACAUUAUUUUAAAUGUUUUUGUGCAGGUUUAUCAAAAAUUAGUGGAGAAAACAAAAGUAACUCCUGGAGCGAACGUAGAGAACAAUAAGUUUUGUGCCUCUGUUCACUUCCGACGCGUAGAUGAGAAAGUACGAUAAUAUUCUAUUUAUUGUUCUAUUUAAUAUUCUAUUAUUACUGUGACAAAAAAAUAAAAUGAGGCGAUUAAUUAAUUUUUUUUCUUUUCUUUUUGAUCAAAUAAUUAAUUAAUUUAUAUAUUGACAGAACUGGAGUGAUCUGGCUAAUCAAGUUGGAUCAGUAAUUAAGGAAUACCCUAAACUCCGUAUUACUCAAGGAAGAAAAGUAAGAUAUUAAUAUUGUUUACUUAAUGGUUUUAUGUUUACUUUAUUAAUGGGUUAUGUUUUGGUAUAAUCGUUCAGGUUUUGGAGAUUCGUCCUAUCAUUAAGUGGGAUAAAGGCAAAGCACUAGAGUUUUUAUUAGAGUCACUUGGUAAAAUCUUCACCAACUAAUUAAUUAUGAUCAGUAACAUGACUACUGUUGAGAUCAAUAGUAUUAAUUAAAAUUAAUAUUGGCCUGCGUAGGGUAUGCUAAUUGUACUGACGUUUUCCCCAUUUACAUCGGCGAUGAUCGCACAGACGAAGAUGCAUUUAAGGUAUAUAUAUAUAACAUCGUAAUUACUGUAAUAUUCAAAUUAAAUCGUUAUUGUUCUUUUGCCCAAGAAAAAAAGUUAUUUUCAACGAUCUAAGUAAAUUUGAUUCAACUGAUGUUGUAGAUAUUAAGAGACAAAAGACAAGGUCUUGGCAUUCUUGUAUCCAAAUUUCCGAAGGAGACUAAUGCGUCUUAUUCUCUGCAAGAGCCUGAUGAGGUAUUAAGUUUGUAGUUCGACCUAUGUUAUUAAGUUCCUAUUAAAUAAUUUACAGUUCCUUAAACUGUUCUUUAUUGUGCAUAUGUCAUUAACUGACCACACCAUUUUUAAAUUAUUCACAGGUUAUGGAUUUCUUGCAACGUCUAGUGGAAUGGGAACAACUGAGAUCUGGCGCAUGAUGAGAGCUAUAAGUACAUAUAUAUAUAAGAAUGAAAUCUUUUUUAAUAACUUGUUAAUCUAGUUUUUCCCUAUUGUACUCACCGUAUCUUUGACAAACAAAGAAAACAAAUUGUACUCAACGCGUAUGUAUAAAAUCUUAUUACUAAUUGUUGUCAAUUCUUAAAGAACAUAGUUUACAUAAUUGCGAUUAGUUUUGUACUCCCACUGUUUCUAAAAGUAGAAUUUUCUAGAGUUAUUUUUUGUUCCAAAAUAAUAGAUUAUUUUAAAUUUUAAAAUAUUUUUAAUAGUUAAUAUUGAUAAAUUGUAUGCUUUAAAAAAAAAUUGAAAAUAUUUGAAUUGAUUAAAUACUAUUGAUUGAUGGUUACUGGGAAAUGUAGAGUAAAAUAAAUAAUAAAUUUAAUUGUAAACAUUUAUUAUAUUCUUAAUAUGCGUGAAUACUCUAUAAAAUCUUUCUUUCAUAAACGUAAGGAGUAUAAUUUUUUUGAGCAUGUAUAUAAAUACUUGACAUAUAUCAUCUAAAUUUUAUCAUGAUUCUAAAAAUGAAAUGAAACUAUAAUGGUAUAAGUAACUCUAUCAUAUCAGUAUUAAAUUAUAUUUCAGUCUUUAAUAAGUUUUUUUGGAUUUUAAGUUCAAAAUAAUGACAAUUAAUCAAAGUACACAAAUUCUAUCAGAUAUUGAUGUAAUUAGCACGGUUCAGUUCAGGGUUGAAUGUUUGAUAAUAGUCAAUCAAAUAUACUACUAACUUACUUUUAAAUCAAAAUUUUGAGUUUUUAUAUUCUUAUUCUGAUUCUCCAUUUCAUAUUUAAAAGAGUAAACCUAAAAUAUCUGAACUAAAUAAAAAAUCGGUUUCUAUUAUAUUGCCAAAUUAGAAUUUUGAAUAAAAAUUGGUUUUAAAAUUUUGGCGGUGAGAUGCUUCUUUAUUUUGAUAGAUAUAUACUAUCAAUUUAUACUUUUCAAAAUACUUUUUAUUUUUGUUUUUGUUUUUGAGUAGGUUAUAUAAUCGACUGCCAGUUAAUAUUCUUAACCAUGUUUUGGGAGUUAUUUUUCAGGUUUUAAUUUUAAUGUUUGUAUAUUUUAUUUUUAAAAAGUGAUAAAUCUUUGUAAAAUGAUUAAAUCACACAUGUACACCAUUUAUUUGUUUUCAUUUCUCUGAUUAUAUAUAUACUAUUAGGAAAUUUUAAACUUUAAACUACAUACACAUUAGUUUUUACAAAACAUAAAUUAUUAAAAAAAUUAUUUGAAAACCAUUUUCUAUUUAUUUAAUUCCUUAACUCAUUGUUAUUUGUUGGUAAAUUUUUGAUACUUUCCAAAAAAAUUAGAAUUUAGACAGUCUAAUAUUAAUAUUUGAAUUGUUAUAGGGUCACCAUCCCAUGUGGUCAAUUCAAUAUUUUGACUCUGAGAGAAGAUGCAAAAUAAGACUUUUCAAUAUUUUCCUUAUAACUAAAUGUAAGGAAAAAACAACUAGCUCUAGUUAAUUAACAUGUUCAAAGUACCAACUUGAUUGACUUCUUAUAUCCUAGACGUGGACCUAAUUAUAAGUGUGUUUGAAGUCAUCAGAGAUUAGGAAGAAAACAUUUUGUUAAUGACUGUAGGUAAUUAGAUAAAUAAUUAUCGUUAUUUAGGCUUUGAUUAGGGUUUCGUCUUACGUUAUUGGCUGUCAACUUUAGAACAAACCAUUAGUGAUACUACACCCAUUUCUCCCGACAUGCCACAAGAAGAUCGUUGUGAGAUUUGGUGGCGUAUUAAUUUAUAGCUUUAACUAUACGAUCCAUUAACUAGUUUAAAUGUUAAAGCUCCAAAAUUGUUAUCGCAGUAAUAUUUUAAUCUAUAUGAAUUAUGAAGUGCGUAUACAUUUUAAACGACCCUAAGUUCUUAGGGAGACUCCUAUGCUACAGAAAAAUAAUUGAGAAUUAAGCCAAUUGGCUCGUGAACUGUGAAGCUUGUCUGAGAUUUCCAAUCACACCAUCAUUGACACGUGUUAUCACUAAAUUAACUAAUGUAUUUUCUUAUUCAAACUAUUUAACAAACCUCGGAGUAUUUAAUGUAUAUCGACUACACAAACCCUAAUUUGCUUUUAUUAAUAAGGGAAGCAACUCUAGAUCCGAAUCUUUCAUAGAAUCAUAUGUGUCAUAAAUCAUAAUGCGUCAGAGAAUUGAGUCGUUUGGCAAUGUUCUGUAAAAUAUAAAAACAUAGUUACGAUAAAUUUCGAACUCUCGCCAACUAUUUUACCAAAUAAUUAGAGUUUAGCAAGGAAAUUCUAUCGUAUUCUUUUUAAAAUUGGUUACUCAUAAGAAAUUUGGAAAACAGAAUUACCUAUUUGUAGAAUUUAAAAUAUGAAAAAUGCAAAACCGAGGACAAGGUUUGAGACUUUGACCUUAUAUUAUAUAUGUCCACUAUGAUUAAAUCAAGCAAUAUUAAUAAGUACUCCUUCCGUUUUUUAAUAUAAGUCGUUUUAGAAGAAAAAAAUUUGUUCCAAAUUAUAUGUCGUUUUCGGUUUUCUAUGUAAAAUUUAUUAACAAUUAAUGUUGUAUAACCAACUGUAAUAUAUCUUAUAUUUUUCUAUUGGUUGAAUUGUGGUUAGGUAAAUAAUUAAUGAUGUUUUUGUUUAGAAAAUAUAAGAAAUUAAUGGUUUUUUUAAUCUACGUGCAUAGCUGUAAAACGACUUAUAUUAAAAAACGGAGGGAGUAUGUACUAUCAUUAUUAUUAUUUUGGCUUAAACACUUUUUCCUACUCUGGCUUAAGAAAAAAAAACCCUAUUCCAUUGGGUUAGGAAUUUCAACUAAGAAAAAGCAUAGGUUAACAAUGCAUGACUCUAAACAAUAUCUUAAAACUUGUUGGAAAGAAAAAAAGUUAGUAGUGAAGAGUUGGAAUCCACCAGAAAAGGUGAGAUAGAUUCUCUAUAAUUUCACCUUUUAAACUUUAAUUUCUACAACUAUGUCUUUUGAAAAAUAAAUAUCUCAGGCUCCAAUUAUUGACCGACUAAAAUUCAUAAUCCUAGAAACACGAUAAUAGUAGUAUUCGACCAAUUAUUGUUCGCCGUAAUUUUCUAAGUUCGUAGACCUUUUCUUUUACACAUAGGCCAAUCUUAAGAGAUUUAUUCAUUCAAGAAAGUAUGAAAAUAAUGCAUGCAUUCUUGUAAAUUAUAGUUUGAUAUCAAGUGAAUGCAAGCGUACUGAAGCUAACGUGCUUCACUUUGACAUAAAUAAAUUGGAAAUUUCGGGCAUUACUUUCCUUGUAAUAAUAAUGUUAGCACUUUAACUCAAUAAAAACAUAGCCGAGAUUAAAUUUCUAAGGAACCUGCCCAAAUCGACUAUUCUCCAAAAAGUUCGACGUAUAUAUAUAUAUAAAUAUUCCACGAAUCGUAUUUCUUGUUAAAUGUAAUAAUCUUUAAUGUUUUAAUGAAAUAUAUUUAAAGAAAUAUGUGUAAAGACGAAACACAUAGAAAGUUUCCUAAACUUGUAAUAAGUAAAACAAUAAGCAAUUAAUCAAAACAAUAAAAAUUAGGUAAAUGAACCCUUCAAUUAAUUAAAUCCAAGACCAGCAAGACUUGCGUACUUAUGUAUUAUAUAAUACCUCAUUGGAUGUAUCUACAAUGUAAAGAAAUUAUAUAUUAUAGUUGUUCAUUAGAAACCCCAAGAACAGUUCACAUGACCAAGAUUCCUUUUUUCUUGAACCAUCUGGGAUCAUCUUAAGGUGUUCUUAUGAAUGACUUUCUAACACGUGUUCUCUGAAUGUUGUGUUCAUACGCAUACCACAUCUAAUAUAUAAUAUAUAUGUGUGUAUGGGAAGUUCCAAACUCUUUGGCAGCAUGUGGAAGCAUGUGACUCAGAUGCCCUCAUUAUAGGGAGCAGGACUUAUGUGUCGAUAUUUUACUUGGACAAUCUUCUCUAACUUGUUAUAAUUAUUUGUUUACAAAGUCUAAAUGAUUUAGUGAAUGGUUGAUGGGCUUUAAACUAAUUAAAUCAAGGGAAAUAAGAAAGUAAUACUUUUAUUUAAGGGGGAAUACGGUUAAAGAAAGUACAAAAACCAUAAAAAGAAACAUAAAUAAGAGAUGGCAAGAACCAUGCGUUCCAACGAGACCAUGUGGAAGUGUAGGAGAAAAAGUUUGUAUUGUUCUUUUUAAUUUCCGGCGUUUAACUUGUAUCACCAACCACUGGUCUCCAAAUGGGAUAGAAAUUUUGAUCACCAAUAAAAUUAUAUGAAGAACAAAACAUGUCAAUUGUAUUAAUUUGUUUAUAAAAAUGAUUUUCGAAUAAGAUGAGUAUGAGGCUGUGGAUUUUGUACACACAAGAUUUUUCUAGGUGAUCAUCAUAUGAUUUUUUUUCCUUUUAUUAGACACGUUAGCCGGUGGCUCAAAGUAGUUCCACUGCGCAACUAUUUUUUUUAUAAACCUCGCCCAUUUAUGCAUCUUCAGUGUAAAUGGCCAAUUUGCCUUGGCUGUUGAUAUCCACUAUCUAGUUCCACUUAGGGGUUGAUUGGUAAGUGUUGUAAUUUCAUUUUUUGACUGUAGAAAUAUUGUUGUGGUUUUUAUUGUUUUGGCUUUGGAUUUUUAAUUUUUAAAAAUCUUUAAAUUUGGACUAUAAGUUUUUGUCUCUCCAGAGAAAUUGUAAAGACAUAAAUUCAAAGAAGUGUCGUGGAUUUUAUAAAAUGGCUGUGAGCUUUAGAAAAAAAUAGAAAUCAAGAUAGUGUAGAAUUAGUGCUCUAGAAAAAAUGAGGCUGUAGAGAGCAUUCACAGCCACUACCAAUCACACCCUUAUUCGCUAAUUAAAGCUUAAUGGGCUGUUGUGGUAUGUGGUUAACUAGCAUAAUACCGAUUCCAAAAUCCAUUGCACUAGCUAUGGCAGUAUACUAUGGUGACCAUAUCUGAAUGUAUUCCCAUUCGUGUUGCCAAUAACUUAUUUGAAUAUAGUACUUAUUUUAGAUAACUGCUUGUUUAAGAGCUAAAUAUAAAACCAACAAUACACAACCAUCAGAAAAAAGGCAUUGUCGAUGGUCAAAUCAACAGUCUCGAAACAAAAGCAUGACCACAGAUAUUUAUCAAACAGGCUUCACUUCACAACGCAAGAAAACAUACGAUUUAGGAACCGUAAGGACAACACUAGCCCAUUCAACCUUUCCCCAAACUUCCUCAUCGUUGUUGCGCCUUUCAAGCGCAAUCACCGCACACCAAAUGUUCUUGUUUUGCCGACGAGGCGGAGCAAACUUUCCCCACAAGAUCAACAGUUUUCCGCCGUAGUUAGCUAUUUCAACAAAAUAACAACGACGAUUCCCAUUCAAUGUAGCCAAACCCAUAACAGCUUUCCAUUCAUUAUGCUUUAUGUCAUACCACAAGCAACUUUGUCUACCACAUUGAUACCUUACGUUAUCUAUCUCACACUCACUUUCGAUCAAAAAUGCUUCUGGAACAUCCCAUUUACCUUCUUUCGGAUCAUAAACAUAAUCCAUCUCCUCAAUGCCCCUAACGCAAAUCUUUCCUAGUUUCACCUCCACUUUCUUAAUCAAAGAUACACGUAGCUCAGCUCCAGGGUCAGGUAAGGGUUCCCAUGUUUGAGUCUUUGGAUCGAAAACCUCAGCCCAAUUCGUGGAUUCAUCUGCAUGACAACCUCCCAUCACGUAAAUUUUAUCAUCAAAGACACACACAACGGCAUUUGCUCUAGCUACCGUCAUGCUAGGGGCCUGACGCCACGAGUAAGUACUCGUACAACGGACCCACAUGACGGAGGAGGGAGUAAUAUUGUAUUUGCUGAUGGCGUAUAACUCUGAACCAACCGCACAUGUGAACAUUGGUACACGUGGAGAAUAAGACGAGGGUAUUGGUACCAACAUAGUGUUUCAGGUAGAGUUCUGUUUCUUCGUCUUACCGAUGUUGUUGGUUAGGGUUUGGUCAGGUUUUAACCAGAGACUAAACCACGAGGUACGGGUUUUAUCGGGCAGCUGUAAGCAGACGUGAAGGACGUUUUCAUGGGUUUCAAGUUCCAAUCUAGCCACGUAGAGCUCCAUGGAUAAGAUGAGAGAGCAAAAGGUCUUGCAGACUAGGGAGAGUUUUGGAUAGUAAGAUUUCCAUAUUCGGGCUAGACAGUUUACAACUAUUUCUUCUGGAAGUGAUAACAACGACCGAGGAGAUGGAUUCUUCUUCUUCUUCUGCAGUUGUUCGACAUCGGAACUCAUAGCAGCUGAGAUUGUAACAAAAGUAAGAUCAAGCUUUGUAGAUUAUGAUAAAAUAAGAAUUAUCAUAUAGUGAUCUUAUGUUAAAAAUACCUCUUCGCCUUCUUGAGAUCAAACCAGCCUCGAGAUGUUGUUUCUUCUGUAUACUUCAUUAUUAAGGGUAUUAAUGGUGACCAAGGAACGAUGAAAAAUUAUCAAUUUCUUAAUGUUCUUGAAAAAAAUCAUCAUUCACAAGAAAUAGUUUUUUCUUCUCAUUCCCUACCAUUCCUUUUUUUUAGAGAAAUAAAGAACAAAAUUGUUCCUUGUUAAAUUUGAGAUGGAACAACCAUUUCCUUUCAUUCCUGCAAUUUUAUUCAUCUAUGUUCUUUUCCUAUUCGUUCCUCUUGUUUUCAGAAUGGUCACAGUCUUAGGUCUUUUAUAAAAACCUGCAUUCACAGUAUAUAUACCAUUUGUUUAACCUACUUGAAAACUGACCCAUUGACUUAAUAUAAGUCAAUGUCCGUCUUGAGAAGACAAAAGAGCCUUAUAAGAAGGCUUCAAACAAGGCCUAUUAUUGAGCUCUGGAAACUCAUGUGGUUCUAGUUUCUCACAAAGAAGCCCUCGUACGUCCAGAUAAGUUUGCUUGCGGGUUAAUUAAUUGACGUGUGAUCCAAAAUUUGAAAUGACUUUUUGUUUGUUUUGUUGAAAUGAGUCUAUGAUAGUUAAAGAAAUAAAGAUAAUUUCUGACAAUAGUUAAGAUCAAUUAAUUAAUAAUCUUAUCUUAUUUUGGAUUUAACACCAAAUUCACAGCACACGUACAUAUGUACUAGGUGUUUUGUCCGAAUAUGCGAGCAUAUUCAUUUGACUUUCAUCGAUAAGUUAUUGUUUAUGCUUUCAAAAAGUUUACACCGAACAAAAUUCAUUAACAUUUUUGAAAACUUUCACAUGUUAUAAAUAUAUUUAAAAAAUAUUUUAUAUACUACAUUUGUUGAUAAUAAGUAAAUCUUAUAAAUAAAAUUUUUCAAAUCACUGAAAUUUCCUUUUCGAUUAUACAACAUUCAACUUUUAUUUAAUUAAUAUUUAAUUAUACAUUUUGGUUUCUUAAUUUUUAAAAAUUUUAUGAUUGAAACAUAUUUUCAGAUAAUAACAGAUUAUAUAUGAUUUGUCUUUUAUUUUAAAAUAUAUUUCUAUCCUUUUAGCCAAUUUAUAUUAUAUUAAUAAAUUAUCUUAUCUAAUAAAUAAAUUCUAUAUAUAUUAAAAAGUGGCGUGUUCAAGUUGGGAUACCUCCUCUGAAUCCCGAUCUAUACUAUUAAGAACUCUCUUUCAGAAAAAUACUGAAUUUCAUAAUAGUGAAAUCCCAAAACUAAAGUUAAUACUAACAAAAAAAUCUGUGAAGAAUAUAGAUAACAUGAUUUACUGCAUGACUUCCUAAACCAUGAGAAAACUGCGGAUGCACAAUCUUUAUGUGUUCAUGUAACGAUACACAAUAAAACAAACAUUGGACUCUUAUUUAAGAGCUGGUUCUUAAUUUUUUAAUUAAAAAUUAAAAAAACGGUUUCUUAUAUUCCGUUAAAAACCUCAACCUAAGAAUUCCCAAUAAACAUGCUCUUAUAGUUGAUCAAAGGAAUGUCACUAGCCCAAACAAGAAAACAUAUGAAUUGGAACCCUAUGUACAACUGCACAAAAUGUACAAUCUUCCUCAAACUUCAUCAUCAGUGCGUUUUCUAAGUGCAAUCACCGCACGCCAACCAUAUUAAUAUUGACGAUCGGGAUGCACAAACUUGUCCCACAAUAUUAACUAUAUCAAUCAACAAUUUUCUGUACCGUAACGGUACCAUACAUUCUUUACCAAAAAGAAACACAUAGGUUUUUUAUACAUUAUUCCAUUUUUUUUUCUCGGAUAGUAAACAUAAUCCAUCUUCUCGUGGUUAUAAGGUAAACCUUACUUUGGAUAUAACCUCUAUUGUUUUAAUGGGAGAAUCGAGGAUCUAGCUCCCCCCAGUUUACUCCAUCUUCCAUUUUUUUUUCUCGGAUCGUAAACAUAAUCCAUCUUCUCGUGGUUAUAAGGUAAACCUUACUUUGGAUAUAACCUCUAUUGUUUUAAUGGGAGAAUCGAGGAUCUAGCUCCCCCCCAGUUUAAUCCAUCUUCCAUUUUUUUUUUCUCGGAUCGUAAACAUAAUCCAUCUUCUCGUGGUUAUAAGGUAAACCUUACUUUGGAUAUAACCUCUAUUGUUUUAAUGGGAGAAUCGAGGCUCCCCCCAAUAUAACCUCUAUUGUUUUAAUGGGAGAAUCGAGGCUCCCCUCCCCCCACCCCCCAGUUUAAGUCUUAGAGUCGAAAACCUCGCCCCAAGUUCAUAGAUUUAUCUGCCCCCAACCUCCGUUGACGAUUUAUAUUCAACUAGUUAAACAUUUCCUCUAAAUAUGUUGUUCUUCUACUAUUUUGUAGUCAUCAGCACUAAACAUAGACGAGAAGAAAAACCAUUAGAGAAAAAACAAGUUGCAAACUGAUUAAUAAAGGCUAAGCAAAGCUACCAAUAGUUUUAUAUAACCAAUGUUUAAACAAAUAAAUCUAAAAGCCAUUCCCGACAGAAAAAAAGUAGAUACAAUUGAUCAAAUCCGUAUCACGGAAGAACGCAAGAAAACGUAUGAACUGGGAACCGUAAGCACAACAUUAGACCACUCAACCUUCCCCCAAACUUGACCAUUUUGGCGCUUUUCAAGCGCAACCAAAGCACAACAAAUAGUUUUUUCUUCACAAUGCGCAAACUUGUCCCACAAGAUUAAAAGUUUCCCACAGUAUUCAACUGUUUUAAUCAAACCACGACGACAACUCCUAUUGAAUGAAGACAACCCCUUGACAUGUUUCCACUCGUUACCCUCUUUGUCAUACCACAUGCAACAUUCCCUACGACAAGAGUAAUUUAUAUUACCUACCAUACACCUACUGUCAUCCUCGCGUGCUUUUGCCGUAGCUUUCCACUUACGUGUUUUCGGAUCAUAGACAGAGUCUUUCUCGUCGUUGCUCCUAACGAGGAGCUUCCCUCGGAUAAUCUUUAUUUCUCUAAUCACUGAAGAGAACCGGAGCUCGUCUCCGGGGUCAGGUAAAGGCUCCCAUGUUCGAGUCUCUGUAUCGAAAACCUCACCCCAGCUUUUCGCGGAUUUAUUUGCAUUGCACCCUCCCAUUACGUAUAUCUUCCCGUGGAGUACGCAUGCAGCGGGAUUCACUCGAGAGACAGUCAUGUUAGGUGUGUUACGCCAUAUAUCUCUCUCUUUAUUGCGGACUAACAUGAACGGGGACGGGGGAUAGCGUUGUCUUAAUGCAUAUUUAUCUGAACCAACCGUACGGACUAACAAUGGUUCUCUACGAGCAUAGGAAGAGGGUACUUGUACCAAGGUAGCUUUCUUCUUCUUCAUAUUCUCUUCCUCGGUUUGAUAAGGUUUUAUCCAGAGGGUGAACCAUAAGGGAAGAGGACGGUCAGGAAGCUGCAAACAUAUAUAAAAUAACUUUUCUUGUGUUUUGUGGUAAGACCGUGCGUGGUUGAGGUUUCUAGAUAAGAUGAGAGAGCGAAAGGUCUUGGAGACUAGGGAGAGUAUAGGGUAGUAGGACAUGGAUAUGCGGGCCAAGCAGUUUAGUAUUAUUACAUCUGGAAGCGACGAAAACGACGGUGGAGAUGGAUUCGGUUUCCUCUUUUUCCACCGUGGUUCGACUACCGCAGAGGCGGCGGCUUGAACCGAAGAGUCUAUCAUUAUACUGUAUACUGUAUAGGCUAGCUAAACACACGAUUAGGUUAGGUACGUAAGUGAAUAAAUACCUUUGUUUUAUAUAUUGAAAACUCAUCCCUUGAUUUUUUAAUAUCUAGUCGAUCCGGUUUAGAAAAUUAAAACAUAAAGAGAACCGGUUUUUUAUUUCUUGUCAGCAAAAAGAAGCCGAUAUAUAGGGGUUUUAUAAGUUCUCCCAAAUUUUAGCUAAUUAGAAAAUAUGGAUUUUAAAAAUCCAAUGAAUCCAAAUACCACUUCCAAUGACGCUAUUUGAAACAUAAAAUUAAAAUAUUUCACAUUUUUAAAAUGAAAAUCAAACUGUUUGAAAUGAAAAAUAAAUUUUGAAAAUCAAAUUUUAUAAACUAUAUAUUUUAUAUAUUUCAUAAAACAAUAAAAAUAUCAAACUAUAGUAAUUUAAAAAAUAAAAUAUUAUUUUGAAUAAAUAUUUAAAAUAUAAUUUGUGUUAAAAAAAAACCUCUGGAAUUCCUCCAAAAACCUUUGAACUUGUAACAAAUUGUUUUAAGAUUACUCAAAUCUCAGUUUUUUUUUUAUUUACUCAAAUCUUAAAAUUUUCUCAAAUUCUUGAUUCAGUAAGCCCCUUAAGUUUUAGUUUUAUAAACCGGAUCGACUAGAUAAUUAAACAAAAUCAGGGGGGUUAGUUUUCAAUAUCAAAAACAAAAGUAUUUAUAAGCUUGAUAGUGUUUUUGGAAAGACCUAAUCGUGGGUUUACUUUACUCUAAUGGUAUACUCUUGGGUUCAAGCUGUCGCCUCUGCGGCUACAAGUCUCAUAGUCGAACCACCGUGGAAAAAGAGGAAACCGAAUCCACCUCCUCCACAGUCGUUUUUGUCGCUUCCAGAUGUAAUUAUUCUAAACUGCUUAGCCCGCGUAUCGAGGUCCUACUACCCUAAACUCUCCCUAGUCUCCAAAACCUUUCGCUCUCUCAUCUUAUCCAUUGACCUCAACCACGCACGCUUUCACCACCAAACACAAGAAGACAUUUUUUAUAUAUGUUUACAGCUUCCCGACCGUCCUCUUCCAACAUGGUUCACCCUUUGGAUAAAACCUGACGAGGAGGAGGUGAAGAAGAGAUCUACCUUUGUACAAGUGCCGUUUUCCUACAAUUCUCGAGAACCGUCGUCCUAUUGUACGGUUGGUUCAGAUCUCUAUGCACUCAGACAAAGCUAUCCUCCGUCCCCCUCAAUGUUUGUCCGCAACAAGAAGAGUGUUGUAUGGCGUAACGCACCCAACAUGACUGUACCUCGAGCGUAUCCCGUUGCGUGCAAACUAGAUGGCAAGAUAUAUGUAAUGGGAGGUUGCAAUGAUGACAAAUCCAAAAAAUCAUGUUGGGGUGAGGUUUUCGAUACAAAUACUCAAACAUGGGAAACUUUACCUAACCCUAAGGCUGAGCUCCGAUUCUCUUCGAUGAUUAGAGAAACAGGGAUUAUCGAAGGAAAGAUAUACGUUAGGAGCAUCGAUGAGAUAGAUUCUGUUUAUGAUCCAAAAACACGAAAGUGGGACGCUACAGAAAAAGCACUCGUGGAUGAUAGUAGGUCUAUGGUAAUGGUAGGUGAUUUAUAUUACUCUUGUCGUGCGAAAAGUUGCAAGUGGUAUGACACAAAUUGUGACAAGUGGAAACUAGUCAAGGGGUUGUCUUCGUUGAAUAAGAGUUAUUGUCGUCGUGGUUUGAUUGAAACAGUUGAGUAUUGUGGGAAACUCUUAAUCAUUUGGGACAAGUUUGCGCAGCCUCGUCGUUAUUGUCAUGAAAAGACUAUUUGUUGUGCUUUGGUUGCGUUUGAAAAGCGCCAAAAUGGUCAAGUUUGGGGAAAGGUUGAGUGGUCUAAUGCUGGGCUUACGGUUCCAAGUUCAUACGUUUACUUGCGUUAUUUAGUGAAUGUCUUAUAAAUUUAAUUCUUAUAACAUUGUUUAGAAUCUUUGGUAGCACCAACGAUUCAUAUAGAUCUAUUACCUAUUCUUUGGUAGCUUUUCUGAACUUUUAUUAAUUAGUUUGGUGUGACACUAUGCCACUUGUUUUUUUGUUUAUGUUUGUCUUUGUUUUUGUUUUUGUCUGUGCUUGGUGCUGACUUUAAAAUAGUAGAAGAGGAACAAAUGUAGAGGAAAUGUUUUCUUGUUGAUUUUAAAUCUAGUAAACUGAGGUUGGGCAUUGGCUGAGCUUUUAUAUGGGCAUUGGCUGAGCUAGAUUUCAUUUUUAUAUGGGUUAUAACGCAUCUAUUAUAGAUUAAAAAAAAAGUUACAUCUAUGAAUUUGGACCUAUGGCAUGUGUGUCAAAAGGUGGGAUCUGAACUAAAUUAUCACAAUAACAACGUGCACAUUAGGCCUACAAGCUUAUAUUUAUAGAUUCCACAUGGUUCAGUUGACCACCAUACCUCUUAAGUGGCUCGGCCACUGGUUGUGGGCAAAUGAAUCCAAGAAUUGGGAAGAGGUUUUCGACUUAAAACUCAAACAUGGGAAUCACUACGACAUUACCUGACCUGGCUCCGAACUAGUGCUACCAAAUUUAUAUUAGUGAUAAAUUUAAAAGUAAUGUUAGUAAAUAUGAUACAUAACUAAUAUAUAAAUAAUUUUUAAACAUAAAACAUUAUAAAUAUAAACUAGUUUUAUGUUUAUAUAGAUAACUUAUAGAUUUUUGAUAGUUUUAGUAUUUUAAUAACUUUAAGAUCCAAUCCGGUUACGUGAUCGAUUCAUGGUUAAACCAAUUAUUAGAUCUAGCCCGGUUCAUGGUUAAACCUGAUCCAAUCAUCGGGUCGGUCCGGUUUUAAAAACACUGAUAUGGAUCGAAAGAGAUUCUAAGUACUAAUUCUCUCUCUUUAUCGACAGACCGAUCUGAAGCUGGAUUGUGUUGUUUAUUAAUCCAAGGCUCAAACACUGUAACCGAGGCCCAAUAAGUUUUGUUAACUAUAAGGGCCCAAAAAGGAUAUAGCGUGUCAACCAACCCAAAAAAGUAAAUUACACUACCCAUAAAAAAAGAAGAGAUUUUGAGAACACGAAGACGAGCUUGGGCAACAAGAAAAAACAUUAGUAAAUUAAUCUUCUUUUUUGGCUUCUGACCAAGAAAAAAAAAAGAUUCUUUCAACAGAAGGAGAAAGUAGAGAUUUUUUUGUAGUCGAAUUCGGAAAAAAAUGGCUCUAAGCUUUGGAUUGAUUUGAAUUAAGAAAAACAAAAAUGUUUGCAGCUCGGCGUCUUCUUCUUUCCUGCAAACAAGGUGCGAAUCAAGCCGCCAGUUUUCUCCGAGGGUUAGUCUUUAUUCUUCUUUCUUAAACUCUAAUUCCUACUCCGUGAGGGGUUUUAACUUAGUUACUUCAAUAAAGCUUCGAUUUUUAUUUAUUAUGCUCUGGUGGCGUUUUGGGUUUUCUCGAAAAGUUUCGACCUUUAAACAUUGUAACGACUUUGAAGCAAAAAAAAUUGUAGAAGAAGGAUUCAAUCGGCCAAUUACAGUCAAUCGACAAGACAAGGGACGACCCAUGGAAGGACAGAUCUUAACCCUUUGCCUGUCGGAACAGCUCAGACUUUCUCUCGCUCGCGUGCUCGUUAUGCUGCUGUAAUAACUCUUUUGAAAAAAAAAACACUUUCACUUGUUUGUUUUUUUUUGGAGUUUUUGAUUACUCUAUAUUGCAGCCAGCACUUGCGCUUGGGUUUACUGGAUUCUUAGCCUUUCUUCAUUACAACGACGAGAGGAGAGCUGUGCCUAAAGGUAUGGUAUAGAGAGAUUCUUCAUUUGGUUUGAUAGGGGUGUUUCUAAGAUCUUGUCUCUGCUUCCUACGUUUUGCAGGUCAACCAAGCAGCAGCAAUAGUAGCGGUUGUGGCUGUGGUUCUAAUACAACAGUCAGAGGUCCUAUUAUAGGAGGUCCAUUCACGCUUAUGAGUACACAGAACAAGGUUGUUACUGAGAAAGACUUGCGUGAUAAAUGGGUGUUGCUCUACUUUGGAUACUCGUUUUCACCUGAUGUUGGACCUGAGCAGUUGAAGAUGAUCUCUAAAGCUGUUGAUAAACUAGGUUUGUUCAUCAAUUUAGUUAUAAAAAUGUUAUCUUUUUACUAAUGAUGUCUUGUCUUGCAGAGUCUAAUCAUGACAAGAAGAUUCUGCCUGUCUUUGUCACUCUUGACCCUGUACGAGAUACACCUUCUCAUCUACAUGCCUACUUGAAAGGUCCGUGUUUUAGCUAAUUUACAAAUUAUCAGACGUUGUGUUGCUCAUGACUUUUGUUUAUUUGCAGAGUUUGAUGAUAGAAUACUUGGAUUGACUGGAUCGGCAAGUGCAAUGAGGCAAAUGGCGCAAGAGUAUCGUGUUUAUUUCAAGAAGGUUCAAGAAGAUGGAGACGAUUACCUCGUUGAUACUUCUCACAACAUGUAAGGAAACCUUUUUUCCUAUACCAAAUCAAAAUUAUUGUUUGUUCAUAAGAAAAGAAAGAGAGUUAAAAUGUUCAUUGUUGGGUGUAUAGGUACUUGUUGAAUCCGAAGAUGGAGGUUGUAAGAUGCUUUGGAGUUGAGUACAAUCCAGGUGACCUCUCACAAGAGGUUCUUAAAGAAGUUACUUCCCUUUCACAGUGACCCAUUUUGACCAAACACUAAAGAGAGAUGUUCACCGAAUGAAGAAACCAUAAGAUGUUUUUGAAUUUAUUUCUUAAUUGGUCAAAUUUUAUUAGACGAUUUUGCUAGUCCUUUGGUCAUGCAACAAUGGUUUGGUUUGGCCGUUUGGGCGAGAUGAUCUGAUAUAGUUGCAAUUGAUUCAUCUUCCUUCUUUCAGUGUGGGCUCAAGCAGAUGGGUCUUUUCUUUCUACGGUUCUUCAUGGGCUUAUGCUGUAAAAACAGUACUAGAGUUGGAUCCGCGCGCCCGCGCGGAAAUUCAUUUUUUCUUUUGAUUCCAUUUUUAUUAUUUUUGGUAAAAUAUGUUUUGGUAUAGUAUUGAUAGGGCAAGCUAAGUUACUGAUUCAUCUGUUGUUGUUGUACAUUACAAACGUCUACAGUUAGAACCAUUUCAAGCGACACUUUCUCACAGGAGGUGUUUUGUUUCCACGUAUGUAAGCAUUUAACUUGAACUCACCAUGAUGUUUUAAAAAGUUUGAGAUUUUUGAGAAAAGUAAAAAUUGUUUUCUUAGACAUGUUUAGUUUGUUUUGUGAAUAAAAAUGCGCUUAAACAUAGCAUAAAUGAGAUUAUAUAUUUUUUUGUUUCAAGUGUGUAGGUUAAAUAGAAAAUCUUAACUAAAUCAUGAUUUGAACGUAUUGAAAACAGAAUAUACGUUUUUGAUAUUUUUUAAUAUCCAGUCCUUAAAGGUUUAUCAUUUUUUGUUAGCUAAUAUAGGAAAUCUUGAUUUACUAACAAAAUAUAAUAGCAUCCAAUAAGAAUGUAGUUAAAAAGGUAUAUUCGUAUAUUUAGUUAAGUAAAACUUGAUUCACACGUUUUGAAAACAGAAUAUGCAGAUAUUUACGUGGUAAGAUUAAUAUGGUUUUAGUAGAUGUGGUUGUUUAAAAAUAGGGAAGGUAUUUGGAAUGUAAUUGAUUUUAGUAAAAUACGAAAUUAUUAGUUUGUUUCUGUGCAUCGAAAAUAUAUGUAGAUACUAACUAACCAAAUAAAGUAUUUUAAGUAUAUUUUAUAUUUUAUACAAACCUACUGUUUGAUUCGGAAUUUUUUUGACGAAACCAGAAACAAACCCGACAAUCUAAUCACUGUUUAUUUUAUGUUAUAGGUUUUAUUCAAUUGGUGUAUAAUAGUAGUCAAUCGAAUUAUGAUAGAUUGGUAUUGAUACAGCAUAGAAAACUAAACCUAGGUAUAGUUGGUUAUGAAACACGUUAAUUUCGGGUGAGUAUGUAAAUUUAGUUAAGCUGGUUUAGUAAUAUUGUAAAAUGAUGCUGCUAAAAGGCAGUGGCAGAUUUUGUAAUAUUGAACAUGAAAGAAUGGUUAAUUACCAGUUGAAACACGUUUGUUUUUAUUUCUGCAGACUAAAUUAAACCAAGGCAAUAUUGGAUAACAAACCACGUUAUUUUAGGUGCACUCGGUUUUGAAAAAUUUAUUAUGCAGGGUUAGUAAGUUAAAACGGUUGUGUUUUAAGGAAGUGGCAUAGAAGGGUAAUUAUUCAGGAAAACUCAGGGUCAAAUCUUAUUUGUACUCCUGUUUUAAUAGUUUAGAUUAUACAACUAGUAAUCAACUAAUCACCACUGAUUACAUUUAAUAAUCCCCAUAAACUCAUCACUGUCCCCUCAUUGUUCGAGACAUGAGAUGGCUAGUGAUAGACCUACCCCUGCAUCAUAGAAAAUUGUUCGAGACAUGAGAUGGCUAUGCUCCAAAUUAUGGUGAGUUGGGUUUAAUCAAAUUUCAUUAAGGAUGGUAAGGUAAUCUUACACUUUUUUGUUUAAAGAAAAUGGAAAAGAAAUUGAUUACAUUUUUUAACUGAUAAAGAAAUGAAUUUUUAAGAGAUGAUUAUUUGAGAUUUUUUUGUCAACGCUCGAGUUGUCUUACCAUUGUGCUGGGCUUUCUGUUUCCGGGAAGUUGUCUUGCAUAUAUUUAAGUCAACGGGAUCAGAAGUUCCGUGUUGGUAUGUAGAUAGAGUCUCUUUGUUUGUUGUUAAUUCUUCCUCCUCACAAGAAAGCUCUACGAUCGUGAUCUUCUCUUGAACAUACUAAUGGAUUCUUAUUUUUCCCGUACCAAUGUUACUGCUUCUGCAAUAUGCUUCUACGCCCUUUUGGGUACAAUAUUUUUCAACAGGAAAUCAAGAUCACAUCAAGAAAACACAAAAAUGGCUUCUUCUUUAUCUCUUUUGGCACCUCUGUCUUCUUUGCCUCGUAAUUGGAUACAUCAUGUCUUUCCAAGCUUCCACGGGGCAGAUGUCCGCACAAACUUUCUCAGCCACGUUCUCAAGGAGCUCAGAAGCAAAAGAAUCAACUCAUUCAUUGACGAUGAUAUGGAGAGGAGUAAGCUGGUCGGUCUUGAGCUCAUAGAAGCUAUUAGAGGAUCGAGGAUUGCUAUUGUCUUGCUCUCGAGGAACUACGCUUCGUCUACAUGGUGCUUGAACGAGCUGGUGGAGAUCAUCAAGUGCAGACAAGAGUUUAGUCAAACAGUAAUCCCCCUUUUCUAUGAAGUGGAUCCAACUGAUGUAAAGAAACAGACCGGUGAUUUUGGGAAGGUCUUCCGAAAAACUUGUAAAGGAAAAGCAAAGGAAGACAUCCAAAGGUGGAAAUGUGCUUUGACGGAAGUGGCUCAAAUCACAGGUUACCAUUCAACAAACUGGUUAGUUGUCCUCCCCCCCACAUGUUCUUAAUCUUUCUAAGACAUGAACAACAUAUACACGUUAUACGUGUAUAUGGGAACUUAGUUUCCCAAAACAGAUUUGUGUCAAAAUCCUUAUGAUCGUAACUAAAAGUAGAAAAAGAAUUAUUCUAACUCGAGAAAGAAACAAUAACUUUAUUUAUCUGAGAAAAAUAUGAUACGUUUACAAGAUAAUGUCCAUGUCCUUAUAUAGACAUGAAACAAUACAAAUGAAAGAAUAUGAAAGGUAAGAGAAAUAACUCUUCUUUCUUAAAACCUUUAAUAUAAUAACUAUUUUCUCUUGUAAUGACAUACAAACUACCUUUUACACAUCUAUCUAUCUAUAUAUAAAAUUGGGUUUACUUCUCUCCUAGACUGCACACAUAGGCGGACACAUCACUAAUUCGAGUCUUGAGAAGCCGACACGUGUCCACAUCCAAAAUAUAACGUUUCAUUAACUUGGAGUUGGAGAUCGCGUGAGCUUUUGUGUAACUCAUAAACAUACAUGAAUUAUCGUGUGGGCUUUAGAUCAAAUUAAAAAUAAUAUUUUUAACAGUAUAUUUUAAUAGUUUAAUAAACAAAUUAUAUCGUGCUCUUCGUCUUUUGAAUACGUCAUAAAAACAACUCUUAUGAUAUUGUUGAUAUUCAGUCUGAUCAUAUACCAGUAUGAAAAAUUAAUGUAAAUCAACAUAACCGAGUACGAUGAUUUUAAUUGGAUUUACAUGUGUCGGUCUAUAUGGAAUCCCUUGUUCCACCACAUCCACAGUUUUCUGGUCUUGAAGAUGGUUGUCAUCUUAAUAUGCUAUAAAUCGUAUUUAUCCCAAUCAAAUAUAGGGAUCCCUUGCUGCAAUGUUCCUUCCAUCGUUUUUGUUUCUUUGUGAUGUUACUUGUGUGAUUUGUGCUUUUUGUGUCCCUUAAAUCAACAUGGCUCUGAUACUAUGUAAAUAGGAACUUUGUUUCUCAAAAAAAAAUUGUAUCACAAUCCUUAUAACUGUAACUAAAAAUAGAAAAGGAAUUUUAUUCUAACUUGACAGAGAACCAAUAACUUUGUUUUUCUGAGAAAAAUAUGAUGUGUUUACAAGACAAUGUCCAUGUCUUUAUAUAGAUAUGAAACAACACAAAUGAAAGAGUAUGAAAGGUAAGAGAGACAUAACUCUUCUCUUUUAUAACCUUUAAUAUAAUAACUACUUUUUCUUGUAAUCCUUGACAUAAUAACUACCAUUUUACACAUACAAAAUAAACUAAACAAUGUCACUUUUGAGAUUGGGACACAAUUAUUUGACAAAGAGACACAACUUUUACAUACACUAUUUAAUAAUAUAUUAGCAAAGUUAAUUAUAAACCAACAAUGCGUAGCUUUUAAACAACAGCCACCCUGGAUCGAAAUAUUGAAUAAGUGUUGGUUUCUUUCUUUGAUAGAAUAUUUGAAUAAUAUGUGCAAUUUUUUCAUGACUAUAUGACGGAGUUUUUGAUCAUCCCCUUAUUCAGGAAGACUGAAGCAAAGAUGAUUGAAGAUAUUGCCACUGAAGUUUCGAACAAGUUAAACCUUUCUGCACCAUCCAGUGAUUUUGACGACUUAGUUGGGAUGGAAUCUCAGAUGAGAAGAAUGAAACCAUUGUUGCAGCUUGAUUCAGAUGACGUGAGAAUAAUAGGGAUUUGGGGUUCGCCUGGGAUUGGUAAGACCACCAUUGCUAGAUCUCUAUUCCACGAAUACUCCCAAGAUUUUCAGAUGAGUGUCUUUGAAGAUAAUAUCAAAAGAAAGUAUGCGGUACCGUCUUGUUCCGAUGACUACAGUGUGAAGUUGGAUUUUCAGAAGCAGUUUAUGUCUCAACUAACCAAUGAGACGUGUGUCAGUAUUUCACAUUUGGGAGUCGUCAAAGAUAGGUUGAAAGACAAGAAAGUUCUUGUUGUCCUUGAUGAUGUUGAUCAUUUAGUACAGCUGGAAGCUAUGGCAAAAGAAACUUAUUGGUUUGGUCCUGGGAGUCGGAUUAUAAUCACAACACAGGAUCAAAGGGUUUUAAAAGCAAGUGGGAUCAACUAUAUACAUAGGGUGAAAUUACCAUCAAAAGAUGAGGCUUUUCAAAUGUUCUGCAUGUAUGCUCUUGGUCAGAAAUACCCUAAGGAUGGUUUCAAGGAGCUUGCUUGUGAAGUUAUUAAUCUUGUAGGUUAUCUUCCGUUGGGGCUAAGAGUUAUGGGCGCCUAUUUUCGGGGAAUGUCCGAGAAAGUUUGGGCAGAGGCACUACCAAGGUUAAAGGCACACCUUUCCCGAGAUAAAGAAAUUACCAACAUUUUAAAGUUUAGUUACGAUGCCUUAAAUGAUGAAGAUAAAAGUUUAUUUCUUCAUAUAGCCUGCUUUUUCAAUCUUGAACCAUUUGGUAUGGUGGAAAGAUGUCUAGAAACAUGUUUUGAGGAUGUGAGACAAGGGCUUGACGCCUUAUAUGAAAAAUCUCUCAUAUCUAGCGUAUCAGGACGGAUAAAGAUGUCUAAGUUGCUAGUCCAACUAGGAAGACAAAUUAUGCGAAAAGAAUUUGUUAGUGAACAUGGAAAACGCCAGUUUUUGAAUGACGCAAGGGAUAUUGGUGAAGUACUUAGUGACGAUAAAGCAGUAAGUUUUGAGAUUGUAUUUUCAUUGCAGUGCUCUGUACAAAUGUGAGAUUAUUUAAUAACUAACAAUCCUCUAUUUAUGUUUUAUUGGGUUGCUUUACAGGGUAAUAGCAGUGUCAUAGGAAUAAAUCUUGAGUGGAAGAAUGACAUAACAAGGACGAGUGAAAGAGCCUUCGAAAGAUUGCCUAAUCUUCAAUUCUUAAAAAUUCAUGGUUAUGGCAUCAAACCUCAAAGUAUGAGCUACAUGUCCCAAAAACUUAGAGUACUAAUUUGGUUGAGCUACCCCAUAUCAUGUUUUCCUUCAAGUUUUAAUCCAGAGUUCCUUGUCGAACUAUACAUGACGAAUAGCAAUCUUGAGAAAUUUUGGGAAGGGAUUAAAGUAAGUAGUAUGUUAUUUUUGAAAAUAAAGGCCCUAUCUAACCAAUUUUCUUAUUUGUGUAAUACUAAUUGUGUCAACUUGUUGUUCUUGUGUGCUUCAUUUACAGCCGCUCAACAAUCUAAAGCUGUUGGAUUUGAGUGGUUCGGAAAGAUUGAAAGAGCUUCCUGAUCUCUCCACUGCCACUAACCUAUAUGAAUUGAAUCUCAGCUCUUGCUCACGUCUGGUGGAACUCCCUUCCUCUAUGAGAAACCUUCAUAGAUUAUCGAGAUUGGAAUUAAUGAAUUGCUCAAUGUUAGAGGUUGUUCUGGCCAACAUCAACUUGGAAUCUAUAGAGGAACUCGAUCUCUCAGAUUGCUCUUUGUUGAAAAGUUAUCAUGAGAGUUCUACAUACAUUGAAGAGCUUGAUCCAUGGAGAAAAUCUCGUCUACAAAAGCUAGUACUAAGUGGAAUGAAGAAGCUGGUAUCACUCCCACAGCUACCAGAUUCGCUAUUGUUCUUAGAUGCAGAAGAGUGUGAGUCCCUGGAGAGACUAGAUUGCUCCUUUCGCAAUCCAGAUAUUCGUCUCAACUUCCGUCACUGCUUCAAACUAAAUCAAGAAGCUAGAGAUCUCAUCAUCCAGACACCGACUAAUCAAUAUGCAGUCUUUCCCGCUGAAGAAUUUCCUCAGUGCUUCUUCACUUACCGAUCUCCUGGAAGUUCCGUAACUGCGAAGUUGAAUCAAUUGCAUGUUGGCAAAUCAACCAAAUUUAAGGCUUGCAUCAUAUUUGAUGGUGGGGACGAUAGCCAUUGGGGACCUGUCUGUUGUUGCAUCACGUCUGGAGGAAAUGCUCUCACUUACUAUACUAAAAAUGUAGAAGCAUUUUUUCUGGGGCAUCUAUACGCAUUCGAGAUUGAGGUUGAAACAGAGGAUGUCACUUCCACGGAGCUUCUUUUUGAUUUUUACAUUGUCUAUAUGCCGCCGUACAGUUCCAGAAAAUGUAAGAUAAAAGAAUGUGGGAUACUCCAACUCCUGGAGGUCCCUUUAUUGAGCUCCAGAGAUGUCGUUGAAGAUUAUGAGCCUUCGCACGUUGAGGGCUUCGGGUAUGGCUCUGGAGAAUUUGAACCUUCAUACAUUGAGAGAUUCGGAUAUGGUUCUGAAGAUUAUGAACCUUCAUACAUUGAGAGCUCUGGAGAUGAGGAUGAAGAUUAUGAACCUUCCGACUCUGGUUAUCUCACUGUCUGAUAGUUGCGCAAUCGAUUCAUUGUCUUCCUUUUCAGGGUGGGCUCAAGCAAAUUGGCUUCGUUACGUUCUAUGGUUCUUUAUGGGCUUAUACUGUAAAAACAAUAUUGGGCUCUCUCCCUACAUUUCAAGUUUGUUGCAAAGUAUUUUCAGAAAAAUAAACAUGAAAAGGGACCAUCUGACCGACUGCCGACUGACCCCAUAUAUAGGUACUAAAUUUAUUUUGGUCAGCAAAUGUAAGAGACAGUUCAGUAAUUUAUGAACAUGAACGUGGCAUCAUUUCCCCAACGGAUUACUGAUGCAUACAAUUAAAUUUAAUGUUAUCGUGUUCAUUUCUUAAGAUUACAUAAAUACUAUCCACAUUGAUCGGUUCGACUCAAGACCGAGUCGGAGACGAAUCAAAUAAUGAUAUGACUCCAUUAACGAGCGAAUUAUCCUAUAAAUCACUCACUAAUUACGGAUUAAAGGAUGGAAAAUAGCUAGAAAGAUUUAUUUAUCAAAUCAUAUCAUUAAAGGCCACAUUACACUCAUAAGACGACAGCAAACAAACAAUACGAAAGACGACCUUAUGAAUCACACACAUUCUCAUCACUCAGAUGACCCAAGAAAGCUGUUUCCGGAUCUCCGACCCGACCCGACUAACCCCAUCCCUAAGCGACACGGGACAAUUGUUCCUCACGGCGGUAAGCUCAUAAGGAGACGUAUCGGUGGCGAGCCACUGCUCGAUCUCGAAGUUCUGCGUGGAGCACUGCGCGUGAACUCCAGCCGUCGAAACCUCGACGUAAUUAACGUACCAGCCGUGGUGAUCGCCGGAGCCGUCGGAGGUUAGGUUCAGAGAGCAGAUCGGACUAGGCAAACACGGCGCUCUUCCACUGAAAAUGUCGAGGUUGCUUCUCUCGAAGUAGUUGUAGUCAGGGCCCAUUAGUCCACCCCAAGCCUCUAGGUUCUUGAUCCCGAUGUAGUCACCGUACUUGUCGUAGAUUCUAGCGCUGAUGAUCGAGUCGGUUCCGGCUUUCCAGAUUGACCCGGUUCGGAGGUAGAAUGUGUAGACGCAGUCCGGUUCAUCGUCCUGUGGAAAUAAUCGGAAGAACCUUCAUACAUUGAGAGCUCUGGAGAUGAGGAUGAAGAUUAUGAACCUUCCGACUCUGGUUAUCUCACUGUCUGAUAGUUGCGCAAUCGAUUCAUUGUCUUCCUUUUCAGGGUGGGCUCAAGCAAAUUGGCUUCGUUACGUUCUAUGGUUCUUUAUGGGCUUAUACUGUAAAAACAAUAUUGGGCUCUCUCCCUACAUUUCAAGUUUGUUGCAAAGUAUUUUCAGAAAAAUAAACAUGAAAAGGGACCAUCUGACCGACUGCCGACUGACCCCAUAUAUAGGUACUAAAUUUAUUUUGGUCAGCAAAUGUAAGAGACAGUUCAGUAAUUUAUGAACAUGAACGUGGCAUCAUUUCCCCAACGGAUUACUGAUGCAUACAAUUAAAUUUAAUGUUAUCGUGUUCAUUUCUUAAGAUUACAUAAAUACUAUCCACAUUGAUCGGUUCGACUCAAGACCGAGUCGGAGACGAAUCAAAUAAUGAUAUGACUCCAUUAACGAGCGAAUUAUCCUAUAAAUCACUCACUAAUUACGGAUUAAAGGAUGGAAAAUAGCUAGAAAGAUUUAUUUAUCAAAUCAUAUCAUUAAAGGCCACAUUACACUCAUAAGACGACAGCAAACAAACAAUACGAAAGACGACCUUAUGAAUCACACACAUUCUCAUCACUCAGAUGACCCAAGAAAGCUGUUUCCGGAUCUCCGACCCGACCCGACUAACCCCAUCCCUAAGCGACACGGGACAAUUGUUCCUCACGGCGGUAAGCUCAUAAGGAGACGUAUCGGUGGCGAGCCACUGCUCGAUCUCGAAGUUCUGCGUGGAGCACUGCGCGUGAACUCCAGCCGUCGAAACCUCGACGUAAUUAACGUACCAGCCGUGGUGAUCGCCGGAGCCGUCGGAGGUUAGGUUCAGAGAGCAGAUCGGACUAGGCAAACACGGCGCUCUUCCACUGAAAAUGUCGAGGUUGCUUCUCUCGAAGUAGUUGUAGUCAGGGCCCAUUAGUCCACCCCAAGCCUCUAGGUUCUUGAUCCCGAUGUAGUCACCGUACUUGUCGUAGAUUCUAGCGCUGAUGAUCGAGUCGGUUCCGGCUUUCCAGAUUGACCCGGUUCGGAGGUAGAAUGUGUAGACGCAGUCCGGUUCAUCGUCCUGUGGAAAUAAUCGGAAGAGAAAUUAGAAAAAGAAUAAAUAUAUGAAAACCUGGUAAAUAGAGAUCGAGGAAGUUACGGCGAAGGCGACGGCGGAGA